Molecule: ribosomal RNA, 465 nt
Filed under: uncultured Klebsiella sp.
Lineage: Bacteria; Pseudomonadati; Pseudomonadota; Gammaproteobacteria; Enterobacterales; Enterobacteriaceae
Description: bacterial SSU rRNA
Rfam family: Bacterial small subunit ribosomal RNA
Source: RNAcentral
CCUACGGGGGGCUGCAGUGGGGAAUAUUGCACAAUGGGCGCAAGCCUGAUGCAGCCAUGCCGCGUGUGUGAAGAAGGCCUUCGGGUUGUAAAGCACUUUCAGCGGGGAGGAAGGCGUUAAGGUUAAUAACCUUGGCGAUUGACGUUACCCGCAGAAGAAGCACCGGCUAACUCCGUGCCAGCAGCCGCGGUAAUACGGAGGGUGCAAGCGUUAAUCGGAAUUACUGGGCGUAAAGCGCACGCAGGCGGUCUGUCAAGUCGGAUGUGAAAUCCCCGGGCUCAAUCUGGGAACUGCAUUCGAAACUGGCAGGCUAGAGUCUUGUAGAGGGGGGUAGAAUUCCAGGUGUAGCGGUGAAAUGCGUAGAGAUCUGGAGGAAUACCGGUGGCGAAGGCGGCCCCCUGGACAAAGACUGACGCUCAGGUGCGAAAGCGUGGGGAGCAAACAGGAUUAGAUACCCUAGUAGUC